This 1926-nucleotide small RNA is filed under the name Pan troglodytes (chimpanzee). RNAcentral describes it as "retained intron". The record is from RNAcentral. Lineage: Eukaryota; Metazoa; Chordata; Mammalia; Primates; Hominidae.
UAGGAUCCCAGGGACGUGUAAACUCAGUGCUUAAUUAAAUGGAUUCUUUAGAGGGUGGGAAACAGGUGGCUGUCAACCAUUUGCCCCACAUAUCCGUAUUCAUGCAAUCCACCCCCAGUGGGCUCACCCGUGCGGGUGUGCAAAACCUCCUCCCACCCCAGUCAUCUUAGGUUCAAGUCAUCCUUUGGUCCUGCUCUUUCCCCGCCAGGCUGUCUGUUGAUGCUACUUUUAAUCUGCUUUCACUAAGAUAAGCCUGGCAGAAGUGGUGGGGGUAAGGUGGGAUGUAGGCCAGCUCCCAAAUGUGUGCUGGGCAUAACAGAAGACCCAUUCUUGACUGAAGUACCCUUGUGGGCCCUGAGCCCGUGCCCUGGAGUGGCACAGGGAGGUGUGCCAGCAAUGGGGACCGAGGUCACUGGGGACUGCUGGGGUUCAGGCUAGUGGCCUGUCUGGCUGCUGUCUGCUUCCCUCGUUCACAUCCUGCUGGAGCCUUAAACGGGAGCCCAAAAGCUUUUCUUUCUUUUUUUUUUUUUUUUUUGAGACACAAUCUCACUCUGUUGCCCAGGCUGGAGUGCAAGUGGCACAACCUCUGCCGCCCGGGUUCAAGCGAUUCUCCUGCCUCAGCCUCCCGAGUAGCUGGGAUUACAGGUGCCUGCCACCAUGCCUGGCUAAUUUUCAUAGUUAGAGUAGAGACGGGGUUUCACCAUCUUGGCCAGGCUGGUCUUGAACUCCUGACCUCAUGAUCCACCCGCCUCGGCCUCCCAAAGUGCUGGGAUUCCAGGUAUGAGCCACCACGCCCGGCCUAAAGCUUUUCUAUUAAUAAUUUCCUGCCUCACCCUCCAUCCCCUUCCUCCUCAGACACCUGGAUUUCAUUAGCAUCAUGACCUACGAUUUUCAUGGAGCCUGGCGUGGGACCACAGGCCAUCACAGUCCCCUGUUCCGAGGUCAGGAGGAUGCAAGUCCUGACAGAUUCAGCAACACUAUCUGUGACUUCCUCCGCGGAGCCACAGUCCAUAGAAUCCUCGGCCAGCAGGUCCCCUAUGCCACCAAGGGCAACCAGUGGGUAGGAUACGACGACCAGGAAAGCGUCAAAAGCAAGGUAGGUUUCCCCAAGGCCACACCUCAGGACAAAGAGAAAGAAGGAGGCCCCGCUCCCAGCAGCCAGAUUCCUGUCCCUUGCACUGAGGGCUGGGCUGGGCUCAUAGAACACAUGUGCCCUGUACACACUCUGGGUCAGGGAACCCAGCCCUGCUCCUCUGGGCCUCCCCUGCCAGGUGCAGUACCUGAAGGACAGGCAGCUGGCGGGCGCCAUGGUAUGGGCCCUGGACCUGGAUGACUUCCAGGGCUCCUUCUGCGGCCAGGAUCUGCGCUUCCCUCUCACCAAUGCCAUCAAGGAUGCACUCGCUGCAACGUAGCCCUCUGUUCUGCACACAGCACGGGGGCCAAGGAUGCCCCGUCCCCCUCUGGCUCCGGCUGGCCGGGAGCCUGAUCACCUGCCCUGCUGAGUCCCAGGCUGAGCCUCAGUCUCCCUCCCUUGGAGCCUAUGCAGAGGUCCACAACACACAGAUUUGAGCUCAGCCCUGGUGGGCAAAGAGGUAGGGAUGGGGCUGUGGGGAUAGUGAGGCAUCGCAAUGUAAGACUCGGGAUUAGUACACACUUGUUGAUUAAUGGAAAUGUUUACAGACCCCCAAGCCUGGCAAGGGAAUUUCUUCAACUCCCUGCCCCCCAGCCCUCCUUAUCAAAGGACACCAUUUUGGCAAGCUCUAUCACUAAGUAGCCAAACAUCCUACAAGACACAGUGACCAUACUAAUUAUACCCUCUGCAAAGCCCAGCUUGAAACCUUCACUUAGGAACGUAAUUGUGUCCCCUAUCCUACUUCCCCUUCCUAAUUCCACAGCUGCUCAAUAAAGUACAAGAGCUUAACAGUG